UGGCACAACGGUUAAAGCAUUCAGCUUCUAACUGAAAGAUUGGUAGUUCAAAUCCACC
Molecule: transfer RNA, 58 nt
Filed under: Loxodonta africana (African savanna elephant)
Lineage: Eukaryota; Metazoa; Chordata; Mammalia; Proboscidea; Elephantidae
Rfam family: tRNA
About the family: Transfer RNA (tRNA) molecules are approximately 80 nucleotides in length. Their secondary structure includes four short double-helical elements and three loops (D, anti-codon, and T loops).
Source: Rfam by way of RNAcentral